CCUACAGGCGGCAGCAGUGGGGAAUAUUGGACAAUGGGGGGAACCCUGAUCCAGCCAUGCCGCGUGUGUGAAGAAGGCCCUCGGGUUGUAAAGCACUUUCAGUGAGGAAGAACGCCUGGUGGUUAAUACCCAUCAGGAAAGACAUCACUCACAGAAGAAGCACCGGCUAACUCCGUGCCAGCAGCCGCGGUAAUACGGAGGGUGCGAGCGUUAAUCGGAAUUACUGGGCGUAAAGCGCGCGUAGGUGGCUUGAUAAGCCGGUUGUGAAAGCCCCGGGCUCAACCUGGGAACGGCAUCCGGAACUGUCAAGCUAGAGUGCAGGAGAGGAAGGUAGAAUUCCCGGUGUAGCGGUGAAAUGCGUAGAGAUCGGGAGGAAUACCAGUGGCGAAGGCGGCCUUCUGGACUGACACUGACACUGAGGUGCGAAAGCGUGGGUAGCAAACAGGAUUAGAUACCCUAGUAGUC
RNAcentral lists this ribosomal RNA (465 nucleotides) under Vreelandella stevensii. Its description in RNAcentral is "partial 16S ribosomal RNA". It matches the Rfam family "Bacterial small subunit ribosomal RNA", at positions 338 to 795 of the family's 1533-position model. Lineage: Bacteria; Pseudomonadati; Pseudomonadota; Gammaproteobacteria; Oceanospirillales; Halomonadaceae. The record is from RNAcentral.